ACCGUUUGCCUUUGGUUCAGUGGUAGAAUGCUCGCCUGCCACGCGGGCGCCCCGAGUCCGAUUCCCGGCCGAUGGUU
This 77-nucleotide transfer RNA is filed under the name Cordylochernes scorpioides. RNAcentral describes it as "tRNA-Gly". The record is from RNAcentral. Lineage: Eukaryota; Metazoa; Arthropoda; Arachnida; Pseudoscorpiones; Chernetidae.